UUGAACGCUGGCGGCAUGCCUUACACCUGCAAGUCGAACGGCAGCACGGGUGCUUGCCCCUGGUGGCGAGUGGCGAACGGGUGAGUAAUACAUCGGAACAUGUCCUGUAGUGGGGGAUAGCCCGGCGAAAGCCGGAUUAAUACCGCAUACGAUCUACGGAUGAAAGCGGGGGACCUUCGGGCCUCGCGCUAUAGGGUUGGCCGAUGGCUGAUUAGCUAGUUGGUGGGGUAAAGGCCUACCAAGGCGACGAUCAGUAGCUGGUCUGAGAGGACGACCAGCCACACUGGGACUGAGACACGGCCCAGACUCCUACGGGAGGCAGCAGUGGGGAAUUUUGGACAAUGGGCGAAAGCCUGAUCCAGCAAUGCCGCGUGUGUGAAGAAGGCCUUCGGGUUGUAAAGCACUUUUGUCCGGAAAGAAAUCCUUGGCCCUAAUACGGUCGGGGGAUGACGGUACCGGAAGAAUAAGCACCGGCUAACUACGUG
RNAcentral lists this ribosomal RNA (485 nucleotides) under uncultured bacterium. RNAcentral describes it as "partial 16S ribosomal RNA". It matches the Rfam family "Bacterial small subunit ribosomal RNA", at positions 30 to 507 of the family's 1533-position model. The record is from RNAcentral.